UACUGAGGUCCCAAGCGUUGUUCGGAUUCAUUGGGCGUAAAGGGUGCGUAGGCGGCGCGGUAAGUCGGGUGUGAAAUCUCGGGGCUUAACUCCGAAACUGCAUUCGAUACUGCCGUGCUUGAGGACUGGAGAGGAGACUGGAAUUUACGGUGUAGCGGUGAAAUGCGUAGAUAUCGUAAGGAAGACCAGUGGCGAAGGCGGGUCUCUGGACAGUUCCUGACGCUGAGGCACGAAGGCCAGGGGAGCAAACGGG
Molecule: ribosomal RNA, 253 nt
Filed under: uncultured bacterium
Lineage: Bacteria
Description: partial 16S ribosomal RNA
Rfam family: Bacterial small subunit ribosomal RNA
Source: RNAcentral